UCAGGCCUAACACAUGCAAGUCGAGCGCGCCUUUCGGGGUGAGCGGCGGACGGGUUAGUAACGCGUGGGAAUAUGCCCUUUGGUACGGAAUAGCCUCUGGAAACGGAGAGUAAUACCGUAUGAGCCCUUCGGGGGAAAGAUUUAUCGCCAAAGGAUUAGCCCGCGUUAGAUUAGGUAGUUGGUGGGGUAAUGGCCUACCAAGCCUACGAUCUAUAGCUGGUUUUAGAGGAUGAUCAGCAACACUGGGACUGAGACACGGCCCAGACUCCUACGGGAGGCAGCAGUGGGGAAUCUUGGACAAUGGGGGCAACCCUGAUCCAGCCAUGCCGCGUGAGUGAUGAAGGCCUUAGGGUCGUAAAGCUCUUUCGCCUGUGAAGAUAAUGACGGUAGCAGGUAAAGAAACCCCGGCUAACUCCGUGCCAGCAGCCGCGGUAAUACGGAGGGGGUUAGCGUUGUUCGGAAUUACUGGGCGUAAAGCGCACGUAGGCGGACCAGAAAGUUGGGGGUGAAAUCCCGGGGCUCAACCCCGGAACUGCCUCCAAAACUAUUGGUCUAGAGUUCGAGAGAGGUGAGUGGAAUUCCAAGUGUAGAGGUGAAAUUCGUAGAUAUUUGGAGGAACACCAGUGGCGAAGGCGGCUCACUGGCUCGAUACUGACGCUGAGGUGCGAAAGUGUGGGGAGCAAACAGGAUUAGAUACCCU
RNAcentral lists this ribosomal RNA (700 nucleotides) under uncultured bacterium. Its description in RNAcentral is "bacterial SSU rRNA". It matches the Rfam family "Bacterial small subunit ribosomal RNA", at positions 42 to 788 of the family's 1533-position model. The record is from RNAcentral.